GAUGAAGAACGCAGCGAAAUGCGAUAAGUAAUGUGAAUUGCAGAAUUCAGUGAAUCAUCGAAUCUUUGAACGCGCAUUGCGGCCGCCAGUAUUCUGGCGGGCAUGCCUGUUCGAGCGUCAUUUCAACCAUCAAGCCCCCGGCUUGUGUUGGGGACCUGCGGCUGCCGCAGGCCCUGAAAACCAGUGGCGGGCUCGCUGUCACACCGAGCGUAGUAGAUUUUCAUCUCGCUCAGGGCGUGCUGCGGGUUCCGGCCGUAAAAAGCCUUAUUUACCCAAGGUUGACCUCGGAUCAGGUAGGAAGACCCGCUGAACUUAAGCAUAUCAAUAAGCGGAGGA
Molecule: unclassified non-coding RNA, 336 nt
Filed under: soil metagenome
Description: partial contains 5.8S ribosomal RNA, internal transcribed spacer 2, and large subunit ribosomal RNA
Rfam family: 5.8S ribosomal RNA (bases 1-120)
Source: RNAcentral